UAAGAGGAAAAUCCGUCGACUUUAAAAAUCGUGAGGGUUCAAGUCCCUC
RNAcentral lists this transfer RNA (49 nucleotides) under Mosannona vasquezii. RNAcentral's name for it is "partial tRNA-Leu". RNAcentral also lists the same sequence under 5 other names. Lineage: Eukaryota; Viridiplantae; Streptophyta; Magnoliopsida; Magnoliales; Annonaceae. The record is from RNAcentral.